AGGACGAACGCUUGCGGCGUGCCUAAGAAAUGCAAGUCGAACGGAUCAUCAGCAAUGGUGGUUAGUGGCGAACGGUCGCGUAACACGUAAGCAACCUGCCCUGAAGUGGGGGACAACAGUCCGAAAGGACUGCUAAUACCGCAUGUGAACGUUAGUCGGCAUCGACGGACGUUUAAAGCUUUAUGCGCUUUGGGAUGGGCUUGCGGCCUAUCAGCUUGUUGGUGGGGUAACGCCUACCAAGGCUUUGACGGGUAGCUGGUCUGAGAGGACGAUCAGCCGGAUUGGGACUGAGAUACGGCCCAGACUCCUACGGGGGGCAGCAAUUAGGAAUCUUGCACAAUGGGGGAAACCCUGAUGCAGCGACGCCGCGUGUGGGAUGACGGCAUUCGUGUUGUAAACCACUUUUUAUCAGGGAAGAAGAAUGUGACGGUACCUGGUGAAUAAGCCCCGGCUAACUACGCGCCAGCAGCCGC
RNAcentral lists this ribosomal RNA (473 nucleotides) under uncultured bacterium. RNAcentral's name for it is "SSU rRNA". It matches the Rfam family "Bacterial small subunit ribosomal RNA", at positions 26 to 518 of the family's 1533-position model. The record is from RNAcentral.